GAAGGAAUGGUGAAAAGGACCCCGGGAGGGGAGUGAAAGAGCACCUGAAACCCUGUGUCUGCAAGCUGUGGGAGGACGUUAAGGUCCGACCGCGUACUUUUUGUAGAACGGUCCGGCGAGCUGCCACAUCCGGCGAGGUUAAGCACUUAAGGUGCGGAGCCGGAGGGAAACCGAGUCUUAACAGGGCGUUAAGUCGGAUGGGGCAGGCCCGAAACCGGGUGAUCUAUCCAUGUCCAGGAUGAAGCUGUCGUAAAAGACAAUGGAGGUCCGAACACACAUCCGUUGAAAAGGGUGGUGAUGAGGUGUGGAUAGGGGAGAAAUUCCAAUCGAACCCGGAGAUAGCUGGUUCUCCUCGAAAUAGCUUUAGGGCUAGCCUCUUAAAAGAGUAACGGAGGUAGAGCACUGAAUAGCCUAGGGGGCGUCAAAGCCUACCGAAGCUUAUCAAACUCCGAAUGCCGUAUACUUGAUUUAAGGGAGUCAGACUGCACGAGAUAAGUUGGGCAGUCAAAAGGGAAAGAGCCCAGACCGCCAGCUAAGGCCCCAAAAUGCAUGUUAAGUGGAAAAGGAUGUGGGAUCUCUAAGACAACUAGGAUGUUGGCUCAGAAGCAGCCAUGCAUUCAAAGAGUGCGUAAUAGCUCACUAGUCGAGAGGUCCUGCGCCGAAAAUGUCCGGGGCUGAAACAUGCUGCCGAAGCUGCGGAACCGCAAGGUUGGUAGAGGAGCAUUGAAUGCGGGAAGAAGCUGUACCGAAAGGAGCAGUGGACUGCAUUGAAGAGAGAAUGCCGGAAUGAGUAGCGAGAAAUAGGUGAGAAUCCUAUUGGCCGAAUAUCCAAGGAUUCCAGGGUAAAGCUGAUCUGCCCUGGGUAAGUCGGGGCCUAAGGCGAGGUCGGAAGACGUAGCCGAUGGACAACAGGUAGAGAUUCCUGUACUGCAUAUGGUCAGAACUGUGGGGACACGGGGUGUUAACGGAAGCCGGGAAAGGAAAGACCGGUCCAAGCACAGGAGGCGUUGCGCAGGCAAAUCCGCGCAAUAAGCCAAAGGUGUGACGGGGAGCGAAAUUAUAGUAGCGAAGUCCGGAUACAUGCUGUCAAGAAAAGCCGCUAUUGCGCCAUAUGUACCCGUACCGUAAACCGACACAGGUGGAUGAGGAGAGAAUCCUAAGGCCGGCGGGAGAAGUGUUGUUAAGGAACUCGGCAAAAUGGCCCCGUAACUUCGGGAGAAGGGGCGCCCAGAAAUGGGCCGCAGAGAAAAGGCUCAAGCAACUGUUUAGCAAAAACACAGGUCUAUGCGAAACCGAAAGGUGAGGUAUAUGGGCUGACGCCUGCCCGGUGCUGGAAGGUUAAGGGGAGAGGUUAGCCGCAAGGCGAAGCUUUGAACUUAAGCCCCAGUAAACGGCGGCCGUAACUAUAACGGUCCUAAGGUAGCGAAAUUCCUUGUCGGGUAAGUUCCGACCCGCACGAAAGGCGUAAUGAUUUGAGCACUGUCUCGACAACACACCCGGUGAAAUUGAAAUACCAGUGAAGAUGCUGGUUACCUGCGCCAGGACGGAAAGACCCCAUGG
Molecule: ribosomal RNA, 1560 nt
Filed under: human gut metagenome
Description: bacterial LSU rRNA
Rfam family: Bacterial large subunit ribosomal RNA
Source: RNAcentral